GGACUGGAUCAACGGCUUGACGAUAAGAAAGCUGUCUCUCUUUACUAAACUCUGAAGUUAGCUGGAUAGUGAAGAGACUCUCUUAGCAAAGCGGGACGAGAAGACCCCGUUGAGCUUUAGUAAAAAUUGUUUAUUAAAAACUUAAUUACUUGAGUUGGGGCAACUAUCUUUCUUUUUUAAAACAAAGAUAAAAAUGUUUUGAGUUGAUUCUUUUAUGACCCUUAAUCUUAGGAAUAGUAGAAAAAGUUACCACGGGGAUAACAGCGUAAUUUUUUUUGAGAGUUCUUAUUGACAAAAAAGUUUGCGACCUCGAUGUUG
RNAcentral lists this ribosomal RNA (318 nucleotides) under Ophiothrix fragilis. RNAcentral's name for it is "partial 16S ribosomal RNA". It matches the Rfam family "Bacterial large subunit ribosomal RNA", at positions 1985 to 2534 of the family's 2925-position model. The record is from RNAcentral. Lineage: Eukaryota; Metazoa; Echinodermata; Ophiuroidea; Amphilepidida; Ophiotrichidae.